Molecule: long non-coding RNA, 614 nt
Organism: Tripterygium wilfordii
Lineage: Eukaryota; Viridiplantae; Streptophyta; Magnoliopsida; Celastrales; Celastraceae
Exons: 2
Source: RefSeq, a predicted model, not a curated record
CCCUCAUCUCCCUCUUUUCUUCCCUCUCCCUUUUUUUCUUCCCCUUGUUUUUCUGUCAACACUAAUGGGCGGCGAUGAUUACUACGUUAAUCCAGAUUUCGGAGACUUCACCGAUGAGGAUAUCUUUGACGAUGAGAAGAGCUCCGACGACGAAGAGAUGGAGUACCCAGAAUACCUAGGAAAAAAGAGACCCUUGCUAUGGUAUAAUGUUGAAGUUACUACAGUUGGAAUGCCCCCAACCUAUCUCUGCCAUCAUCAACCAUGACACCAUCAAGCUUGCGUAUAUACCCAUUCACCAUUUACCUUGCGUAUAUACCCAUUCACUAGUGCCCAAGCCUAUCUCUGCUUUGUUUUGUUGGUCAUGACUGUAGUUAGACUAGGUCAAAUUUUAAUAGGGUUUCUUAGUUUUGGGGUGCGAAUGGAAAUUUGUGGAGUGCAACUAGCCCCCACCUAGAUUGUUUGAUUUGUCUAUAUUUGACAUGAUUUUUUUCCAAAAAAAAUGUACUUAUAUAAAAAAUUAUGGUAACUACUUACCAUAAAAUUAUUGUGCUCAUAUUUUUUGAUGAAUAAAAUAAAGAUAAUGUUUGAGACCUCUAAAAAGUGACCCCAAAACA